RNAcentral lists this ribosomal RNA (254 nucleotides) under uncultured bacterium. RNAcentral's name for it is "partial 16S ribosomal RNA". It matches the Rfam family "Bacterial small subunit ribosomal RNA", at positions 524 to 776 of the family's 1533-position model. The record is from RNAcentral.
GACGUAGGGUGCAAGCGUUGUCCGGAUUUACUGGGCGUAAAGAGCGCGUAGGCGGUCUGUUAAGUGAGAAGUGAAAUCUCCAGGGCUCAACUCGGAAACUGCUUUUCAUACUGGCAGACUUGAGGGAUGCAGAGGUUUGUGGAAUUCCUGGUGUAGCGGUGAAAUGCGUAGAGAUCCGAAGGAACGCCGGUGGCGAAAGCGGCGGACUGGGCACCUUCUGACGCUGAGGCGCGAAAGCCAGGGGAGCAAACGGG